GACGAACGCUGGCGGCGUGCUUAACACAUGCAAGUCGAACGGUAAGGCCCUUCGGGGUACACGAGUGGCGAACGGGUGAGUAACGCGUGGGUGAUCUGCCCUGCACUUCGGGAUAAGCCUGGGAAACUGGGUCUAAUACCGGAUAGGACUCCUGCCUGCAUGGGUGGGGGUGGAAAGCUUUUGCGGUGUGGGAUGGGCCCGCGGCCUAUCAGCUUGUUGGUGGGGUGAUGGCCUACCAAGGCGACGACGGGUAGCCGGCCUGAGAGGGUGACCGGCCACACUGGGACUGAGAUACGGCCCAGACUCCUACGGGAGGCAGCAGUGGGGAAGAUUGCACAAUGGGCGCAAGCCUGAUGCAGCGACGCCGCGUGAGGGAUGACGGCCUUCGGGUUGUAAACCUCUUUCAGCACAGACGAAGCGCAAGUGACGGUAUGUGUAGAAGAAGGACCGGCCAACUACGUGCCAGCCGCCGCGGUAA
Molecule: ribosomal RNA, 478 nt
Filed under: uncultured bacterium
Lineage: Bacteria
Description: partial 16S ribosomal RNA
Rfam family: Bacterial small subunit ribosomal RNA
Source: RNAcentral